GUGCCCCGCGCUUGUAGCGCUGCGUCGGCCUAGGGCCAAUUCUCGCCAGGGGACCGAAUCCUGUGUUGUAGGCAGGCUCAGGGGUGUCGGGUGUGGUGCGCCCCCCGACAAGCCAGCGCGCCCCGGAAGGGAGCAGCGGCAUGCGCUGAUCAAGGAUGUGAGCGACUGCCCCAUGGGCCGAGCCGAUGUCCUGCUG
Molecule: non-coding RNA, 196 nt
Filed under: Oxyrrhis marina
Lineage: Eukaryota; Dinophyceae; Oxyrrhinales; Oxyrrhinaceae
Source: RNAcentral